GACAGAGGGUGCAAACGUUGUUCGGAAUUACUGGGCGUAAAGCGUGUGUAGGCGGCUAUGUAAGUCGGAUGUGAAAGCCCCGGGCUCAACCCGGGAAGUGCACUCGAUACUGCGUAGCUUGAGUACUGGAGAGGUUGGUGGAAUUCUCGGUGUAGAGGUGAAAUUCGUAGAUAUCGAGAGGAACACCGGUGGCGAAGGCGGCCAACUGGACAGAUACUGACGCUGAGACACGAAAGCGUGGGGAGCAAACAGG
RNAcentral lists this ribosomal RNA (253 nucleotides) under uncultured bacterium. RNAcentral describes it as "partial 16S ribosomal RNA". It matches the Rfam family "Bacterial small subunit ribosomal RNA", at positions 524 to 776 of the family's 1533-position model. The record is from RNAcentral.